AGCGAACGCUGGCGGCAUGCCUAACACAUGCAAGUCUGACGGGCGGGGCUUUUGGGCUCUGUCAGUGGCGGACGGGUGAGGAGCGCGUAGGAACGUAUCCAGGGGUGGGGGACAACCGCGGGAAACUGCGGCUAAUACCGCAUGGGGGCCUAGUGGGGAGACCCGAAAGGGGGGAGUCCGGGGCCGAAAGGACGAGGGCGACCUCGCCGCCGCUGGAGCGGCCUGCGUCCGAUUAGCUAGUUGGUGGGGUGACGGCCCACCAAGGCUGUGAUCGGUAGCUGGUCUGAGAGGAUGAUCAGCCACACUGGGACUGAGACACGGCCCAGACUCCUACGGGAGGCAGCAGUGGGGAGUAUUGGACAAUGGGGGAAACCCUAGAUCCAGCAAUGCCGCGUGGGGUGAAGAAGGUCUUCGGAUUGUAAAGCCCUUUCGGCGGGGACGAUGAUGACGGUACCCGCAGAAGAAGCCCCGGCUAACUUCGUGCCAGCAGCCGCCGCGGU
RNAcentral lists this ribosomal RNA (500 nucleotides) under uncultured bacterium. RNAcentral's name for it is "bacterial SSU rRNA". It matches the Rfam family "Bacterial small subunit ribosomal RNA", at positions 30 to 524 of the family's 1533-position model. The record is from RNAcentral.